Molecule: ribosomal RNA, 497 nt
Filed under: uncultured bacterium
Lineage: Bacteria
Description: partial 16S ribosomal RNA
Rfam family: Bacterial small subunit ribosomal RNA
Source: RNAcentral
GAUGAACGCUGGCGGCGUGCCUAAUACAUGCAAGUCGAGCGAACGGACGAGAAGCUUGCUUCUCUGAUGUUAGCGGCGGACGGGUGAGUAACACGUGGAUAACCUACCUAUAAGACUGGGAUAUCUUCGGGAAACCGGAGCUAAUACCGGAUAAUAUUUUGAACCGCAUGGUUCAAAAGUGAAAGACGGUCUUGCUGUCACUUAUAGAUGGAUCCGCGCUGCAUUAGCUAGUUGGUAAGGUAACGGCUUACCAAGGCAACGAUGCAUAGCCGACCUGAGAGGGUGAUCAGCCACACUGGAACUGAGACACGGUCCAGACUCCUACGGGAGGCAGCAGUAGGGAAUCUUCCGCAAUGGGCGAAAGCCUGACGGAGCAACGCCGCGUGAGUGAUGAAGGUCUUCGGAUCGUAAAACUCUGUUAUUAGGGAAGAACAUAUGUGUAAGUAACUGUGCACAUCUUGACGGUACCUAAUCAGAAAGCCACGGCUAACUACGUG